UCCUGGUAGCUCAGAUGGUAAAGAAUCUGCCUGCAAUGCAGAGGACCCAGGUUCAAUCCCUGAGUCAGGAA
This 71-nucleotide transfer RNA is filed under the name Ovis aries (sheep). It matches the Rfam family "tRNA". Rfam says of the family: Transfer RNA (tRNA) molecules are approximately 80 nucleotides in length. Their secondary structure includes four short double-helical elements and three loops (D, anti-codon, and T loops). Further hydrogen bonds mediate the characteristic L-shaped molecular structure. tRNAs have two regions of fundamental functional importance: the anti-codon, which is responsible for specific mRNA codon recognition, and the 3' end, to which the tRNAs corresponding amino acid is attached (by aminoacyl-tRNA synthetases). tRNAs cope with the degeneracy of the genetic code in two manners: having more than one tRNA (with a specific anti-codon) for a particular amino acid; and 'wobble' base-pairing, i.e. permitting non-standard base-pairing at the 3rd anti-codon position. Lineage: Eukaryota; Metazoa; Chordata; Mammalia; Artiodactyla; Bovidae. The record is from Rfam by way of RNAcentral.